CCUACGGGAGGCAGCAGUGAGGAAUAUUGGUCAAUGGACGAGAGUCUGAACCAGCCAAGUAGCGUGCAGGAAGACGGCCCUAUGGGUUGUAAACUGCUUUUAUAAGGGAAUAAAGUGAGUCUCGUGAGACUUUUUGCAUGUACCUUAUGAAUAAGGACCGGCUAAUUCCGUGCCAGCAGC
Molecule: ribosomal RNA, 180 nt
Filed under: uncultured bacterium
Lineage: Bacteria
Description: partial 16S ribosomal RNA
Rfam family: Bacterial small subunit ribosomal RNA
Source: RNAcentral